RNAcentral lists this ribosomal RNA (253 nucleotides) under uncultured bacterium. RNAcentral's name for it is "partial 16S ribosomal RNA". It matches the Rfam family "Bacterial small subunit ribosomal RNA", at positions 524 to 776 of the family's 1533-position model. The record is from RNAcentral.
UACAGAGGGUGCAAGCGUUGUCCGGAAUCACUGGGCGUAAAGGGCGCGUAGGCGGCCUGAUAAGUAGGGGGUGAAAUCCUGCGGCUUAACCGCAGGGCUGCCUUCUAAACUGUCAGGCUGGAGCACAGUAGAGGCAGGUGGAAUUCCCGGUGUAGCGGUGGAAUGCGUAGAGAUCGGGAAGAACAUCAGUGGCGAAGGCGGCCUGCUGGGCUGUUGCUGACGCUGAGGCGCGACAGCGUGGGGAGCAAACAGG